GACGAACGCUGGCGGCGUGCUUAACACAUGCAAGUCGAACGGAAAGGCCCUGCUUUUGUGGGGUGCUCGAGUGGCGAACGGGUGAGUAACACGUGAGUAACCUGCCCUUGACUUUGGGAUAACUUCAGGGAACUGGGGCUAAUACCGGAUAGGAGCUCCUGCUGCAUGGUGGGGGUUGGAAAGUUUCGGCGGUUGGGGAUGGACUCGCGGCUUAUCAGCUUGUUGGUGGGGUAGUGGCUUACCAAGGCUUUGACGGGUAGCCGGCCUGAGAGGGUGACCGGCCACAUUGGGACUGAGAUACGGCCCAGACCCCUACGGGAGGCAGCAGUGGGGAAUAUUGCACAAUGGGCGGAAGCCUGAUGCAGCAACGCCGCGUGCGGGAUGACGGCCUUCGGGUUGUAAACCGCUUUCGCCUGUGACGAAGCGUGAGUGACGGUAAUGGGUAAAGAAGCACCGGCUAACUACGUG
Molecule: ribosomal RNA, 468 nt
Filed under: uncultured bacterium
Lineage: Bacteria
Description: partial 16S ribosomal RNA
Rfam family: Bacterial small subunit ribosomal RNA
Source: RNAcentral